CAACAUCAUGUCGCAUAUAAAAGGAAAUAAUCACCUGUAUAAGCUCGAGCACACAUAUAUAUGUAUAUACAAUACUUGGCUGUUGGAGCCAUCACGUCUAUUAACAAAACACCACCUUGACUGUACAUUAGGUCUACAAAGCCUCUAGACAAUACACAGAGUUUAACUAAGGUCGGGACACACCCCGCCAUAUAACUAACUUCUAUACAAUACCAAAAGUGACUGGAUAUGACACG
RNAcentral lists this long non-coding RNA (236 nucleotides) under Capsicum annuum. RNAcentral describes it as "long non-coding RNA (CANN_LNC006243)". Lineage: Eukaryota; Viridiplantae; Streptophyta; Magnoliopsida; Solanales; Solanaceae. The record is from RNAcentral.